UGGCGGACGGGUGAGUAACGCGUGGGCAACCUGCCCCGUNCCGGGGGAUACCGCCUGGAAACAGGCGCUAAUACCGCAUAAGCGCAUACAGCCGCAUGGCAGUAUGCGGAAAGCUCCGGCGGCACGGGAUGGGCCCGCGCCCGAUUAGCCAGUUGGCGGGGUAACGGCCCACCAAAGCGACGAUCGGUAGCCGGCCUGAGAGGGCGGACGGCCACAUUGGGACUGAGACACGGCCCAAACUCCUACGGGAGGCAGCAG
This 258-nucleotide ribosomal RNA is filed under the name uncultured bacterium. RNAcentral's name for it is "partial 16S ribosomal RNA". It matches the Rfam family "Bacterial small subunit ribosomal RNA", at positions 96 to 354 of the family's 1533-position model. The record is from RNAcentral.